UUUACUGAGGAAGCUUCAUACAGUCUUUAUAUUCUUGCAGGUCUUGGAAUAGCUGCUGACGCAGCCUAUGGUAUUUUCUCGGAGCUUAUAUUUACCCCAAAAGAGUAAGACGUAAUUACAUAUCUAGCAUUUUUAGCUAAUAUUAGUAAAAUCUUCAAAAUUGAGGAUUUCGUCUUUCUUCAUUUGCUGAAUUUAAUACAUGCUUAUAUACACUUCAGUUGGUCCACCUCUCCCCUGCUGCUUUGUUAAGGUUUGUAAAAUUACAUAUGUAAUAUAUAAUUUGAUUUCACCAGGGGUAGUAAUCAUGUCAAUUGAGAGUAUUAGUAGCAGAGUAAUGGUCCUCCUGACUAAACCAUUCCUGCAUUUCACAUUGUAGAAAUGAAUUUAAUGAAGUAUUAAUUGGUAGUGUUGGCGGACAUAAUUCACUGUCUUUGAGGUGUAUUUUAAAAAAAUUUGUAUCAACUUGUGUUAUAGCCAGGGAAUAUAGUACAAAGGUAAGCCUUCUUUUUAAUAACUUUACAAGUCCCAGAAAAAUUAGCUAGAAAUCUCAUUAUUAAAUAUUUCACAUUUUGGCUUCAUUAAAUAGUACGACAUUUUGGCGCUUUUGCAAGUUCAAGUUUUUGUGUUACUCUAUAGAUAUAGUUUAUUAUAAUCUGUUUCUAGCUAUGAUGCACACUAUGAGAAACAAAUUAACAUACUUAAUUUAGUUGUUAGCAUCGCUUUUUAAAUCUAUUCUUCUAGUGUCAUAUUGAUGUCUUAAGUUUAAGUAACAAGUACUAUUGAUCUAUUAGAACUAAAUCUAUUCUUUGUGCAACAUUAUAGUAUAUGGCCAUCUAGUUUGCAGCUUCCACUUCAUAAUAAUUUGUAAUUGUAGCCGAAUAGUAAAACUUUAGAAAUGCAUAUGUAGGACAAUAGCUUCUGAUAGAAAUCACAUAAUUUAUAAUAACGUGGAAUUUAUGAAAAAAAAUAGAUAUUAUUUACUAAGCAAUAACUUCUAUUACAUAUUUUAAGUACUUACACGUAGCACGAAAAAAUUCAAAAUCAUUUGAUUUACCUAAUUCUCAUUUUUUAAAAGUUAAUCUUAUUUAUUUAUCAAUAUUUCAUAUUAUAUAUAUAUUUUUUCUGAAGUACAAUAAUUCAUAUUUAUUUAGAUAUAUUUUUUUAUAAAUAUAUAAAUAAAAAAUUAACUAUUAUCACCUAAAUAUAUAUUUUUGGGGCCCUUUUACAGUUGGGGGCCCCAAGCGACCUCUUAACUGGUCUUAGUGUUGAGCUGGGGGUGGAGAUGAAUAUAGUUUUAUUAGUCCUGUUCCUGAUGCUGGAAAUUCACAAAUCCAAUCUUUUUACUAAGUUACUUAAGGUCCCCUGCAUGAAUGCUUUCCUGUUAUAUACUUCAUUUUCUAUUAGAUACCUACUUUCCUGUGUUUGUCCUAUGUAGUUCUAUAUGAGCAAGCAUCAUUGACUGGCUAUUGACCUCAUGCCAACUUUUCAAUUACUUCAUAUUGCAAUUCCUUGAAAAAGAAGUUUGAAGAUAAGAUCACUGAGUUUCAGACUCUGAGGCAAACCAUUCAUCAUGUAUCGAGAGUGAUUGAUACAAGAGUUGACCGGCUACUCCAGUUCCAAAAUCUAAGGUCGAGGAGCUGAACGCAAAUAUUACUUAAAGUGAGCUCAACGCACCGCUUCUGGAACCACUCAUGGCACCACUUCCGGCACCACCGAUUCUUGAAUAUAACUGUUUCUGCGAUUACCUUAGUUACUAUGAAUUUGUCGUACUUAAUUUUGUAGUUAGAUUGUUUUGAUGUUGUGUUUCUUAAAUGGUUUGGAUGAGAUUGUUUUAUGUUGGACUUGCUGGAGGAUGGUUGGAUAUUUGUUGUACUAGAGUUUGGUAUUUGUAGUUUUAGCUGGAUGUUUGGUGGGAAGUUUGGAUGGAUGUUUGUAGGAUUAUUUGUAUUUUUAUUGGGAGUGUUACAAAAACAAUGCAGGCAUUGCAGAAUUUUUCAAAAUAUGUGUUACAAUAGCUCAUUUUAAUGUUACGUUUGAUUACUAUUUGUGGUA
Daucus carota subsp. sativus is the source of this 2052-nucleotide long non-coding RNA. RefSeq lists it as uncharacterized. The record is from RefSeq and is a predicted model, not a curated record. NCBI's taxonomy places the organism in Eukaryota, Viridiplantae, Streptophyta, Magnoliopsida, Apiales, Apiaceae. The transcript is spliced from 3 exons.